RNAcentral lists this ribosomal RNA (497 nucleotides) under uncultured bacterium. RNAcentral describes it as "partial 16S ribosomal RNA". It matches the Rfam family "Bacterial small subunit ribosomal RNA", at positions 28 to 507 of the family's 1533-position model. The record is from RNAcentral.
GAUGAACGCUGGCGGCGUGCCUAAUACAUGCAAGUCGAGCGAACAGACGAUGAGCUUGCUCCUCUGACGUUAGCCGCGCACGUGUGUGUAACACGUGUAUACUCCACCUAUAAUAGUGGGAUCAUCUCGGGAAACCGGCUCUAAUCCCGGAUAAUAUCUUGCACCGCAUGGUUCAAUAGUGAAAGACGGCGUUUCUGUCUCUUAUCGCUGCAUCCGCGCGGCAUUAGCUGGUUGUUAAGUUCACGGCUUACCACGGCAACGAUGCGUAGCCGACGUGAUAGGGUGGUCGCCCGCACUAGAGCUGGGACACGGACCAGGCUCCUACGGGAGGCAGCAGAAGGGAAUCUGACGCAGUGGGCGAAAGCAUGACGGAGCAAGGCCGCGUGAGUGGUGAAGGUCUUCGGAGCGUAAAACUCGGUUAUUGGGUGAAAACAGAUGUGUAAGUAGCUGUGCACGUCUUGACGGUACCUAGUCAGAAAGCAACGGCUAACUACGUG